ACGGGAGGCAGCAGUGGGGAAUAUUGGGCAAUGGGGGAAACCCUGACCCAGCAACGCCGCGUGAGGGAUGAAGGCCUUCGGGUUGUAAACCUCUGUCCUCAGGGACGAACAAAAUGACGGUACCUGAGGAGGAAGCUCCGGCUAACUACGUGCCAGCAGCCGCGGUAAUACGUAGGGAGCAAGCGUUGUCCGGAAUUACUGGGCGUAAAGGGUGCGUAGGCGGCGCGUUAAGUCAGAUGUGAAAUACCCGGGCUCAACCCGGGGGGUGCAUCUGAUACUGGCGUGCUUGAGUGCAGGAGAGGAAAGCGGAAUUCCUAGUGUAGCGGUGAAAUGCGUAGAUAUUAGGAGGAACACCAGUGGCGAAGGCGGCUUUCUGGACUGUAACUGACGCUGAGGCACGAAAGCGUGGGGAGCAAACAAGAUUAGAUACCCUGGUA
This 437-nucleotide ribosomal RNA is filed under the name uncultured bacterium. Its description in RNAcentral is "partial 16S ribosomal RNA". It matches the Rfam family "Bacterial small subunit ribosomal RNA", at positions 341 to 792 of the family's 1533-position model. The record is from RNAcentral.